GAUGAACGCUGGCGGCGUGCCUAAUACAUGCCAGUCGAGCGAACGGACGCGAAGCUUGCUUCUCUGAUGUUAGCGGCGGACGGGUGAGUAACACGUGGAUAACCUACCUAUAAGACUGGGAUAACUUCGGGAAACCGGAGCUAAUACCGGAUGAUAUUUUGAACCGCAUGGUUCAAAAGUGAAAGACGGUCUUGCUGUCACUUAUAGAUGGAUCCGCGCUGCAUUAGCUAGUUGGUAAGGUAACGGCUUACCAAGGCAACGAUGCAUAGCCGACCUGAGAGGGUGAUCGGCCACACUGGAACUGAGACACGGUCCAGACUCCUACGGGAGGCAGCAGUAGGGAAUCUGCCGCAAUGGGCGAAAGCCUGACGGAGCAACGCCGCGUGAGUGAUGAAGGUCUUCGGAUCGGAAAACUCUGUUAUGAGGGAAGAACAUAUGUGUAAGUAACUGUGCACAUCUUGACGGUACCUAAUCAGAAAGCCACGGCUAACUACGUG
RNAcentral lists this ribosomal RNA (497 nucleotides) under uncultured bacterium. RNAcentral describes it as "partial 16S ribosomal RNA". It matches the Rfam family "Bacterial small subunit ribosomal RNA", at positions 28 to 507 of the family's 1533-position model. The record is from RNAcentral.